AAUCACCAUUUGGCAGGGCUACUAGGACUUGGGUCUCUCUCUUGGGCGGGGCAUCAAGUACAUCUAUCUUUACCGAUUAACCAAUUUCAAAAGGCGAGGAGGCAGCUGCUGCAUCAUGAGACAGAUAAUAAAAGAAGUAUUUCAACGAGGAACCAUGAAGCCACAUUUGUCAAGAAAACUAGAUAGUAGAUAAUCUAAAUUUAUACCCUUCAGAAAAAAUA
RNAcentral lists this long non-coding RNA (221 nucleotides) under Nicotiana benthamiana. Its description in RNAcentral is "long non-coding RNA (NBEN_LNC009380)". The record is from RNAcentral. Lineage: Eukaryota; Viridiplantae; Streptophyta; Magnoliopsida; Solanales; Solanaceae.